UGGGGAAUUGUUCGCAAUGGGCGCAAGCCUGACGACGCAACGCCGCGUGGAGGAUGAAGAUCUUCGGGUCGUAAACUCCUGUCGAGCGGGACGAACACCUAUCCAGCUAACAUCUGGACUGGCUGACGGUACCGCUAAAGGAAGCCCCGGCUAACUCCGUGCCAGCAGCCGCGGUAAUACGGGGGGGGCAAGCGUUGUUCGGAAUUACUGGGCGUAAAGGGCUCGUAGGCGGCCAACUAAGUCAGACGUGAAAUCCCCAGGCUCAACCUGGGAACUGCGUCUGAUACUGGAUGGCUUGAAUCCGGGAGAGGGAUGCAGAAUUCCAGGUGUAGCGGUGAAAUGCGUAGAUAUCUGGAGGAAUACCGGUGGCGAAGGCGGCAUCCUGGACCGGCAUUGACGCUGAGGAGCGAAAGCUAGGGGAGCAAACGG
Molecule: ribosomal RNA, 429 nt
Filed under: uncultured bacterium
Lineage: Bacteria
Description: bacterial SSU rRNA
Rfam family: Bacterial small subunit ribosomal RNA
Source: RNAcentral